GCCGGAGUGGCGGAAUUGGUAGACGCAGCGGACUCAAAAUCCGCCGGACCUUGGGUCUGUGGGAGUUCGAGUCUCCCCUCCGGCA
Molecule: transfer RNA, 85 nt
Filed under: Thermovirga lienii DSM 17291
Lineage: Bacteria; Thermotogati; Synergistota; Synergistia; Synergistales; Thermovirgaceae
Rfam family: tRNA
About the family: Transfer RNA (tRNA) molecules are approximately 80 nucleotides in length.
Source: Rfam by way of RNAcentral